RNAcentral lists this long non-coding RNA (257 nucleotides) under Lupinus angustifolius (narrow-leaved blue lupine). RNAcentral's name for it is "long non-coding RNA (LANG_LNC003480)". The record is from RNAcentral. Lineage: Eukaryota; Viridiplantae; Streptophyta; Magnoliopsida; Fabales; Fabaceae.
UUUAUCACUUUUCACACAUUGCACAUAGUUGUACAUAUGUUGUAAAUUCUUCUUCUUCUCAUUUUGAUUUUCUCUCUCUUUAGAGUGUUCUUAAGUUGUUCUUAGGCUUUUAGUUCAUAGAAAUUCAAAGGGAAUGGAGUUGGCAAAUGAGAUGCAAAAACGUGAUCUUAUAACCUCAUUUGAAAUCCAAAGUAUCUCAUCAUUGGAUAGAUGGCUCAUGCUCCUACAUAUUGACUUGGAUUAUGGUGUAAUGUUAU